Molecule: ribosomal RNA, 301 nt
Filed under: uncultured bacterium
Lineage: Bacteria
Description: partial 16S ribosomal RNA
Rfam family: Bacterial small subunit ribosomal RNA
Source: RNAcentral
CAGUAGCCGCGGUAAUACGUAGGGUGCGAGCGUUAAUCGGAAUUACUGGGCGUAAAGCGUGCGCAGGCGGUUCGUUAAGACAGAUGUGAAAUCCCCGGGCUUAACCUGGGAACUGCAUUUGUGACUGGCGAGCUAGAGUAUGGCAGAGGGGGGUAGAACUCCACGUGUAGCAGUGAAAUGCGUAGAGAUGUGGAGGAAUACCGAUGGCGAAGGCAGCCCCCUGGGCCAAUACUGACGCUCAUGCACGAAAGCGUGGGGAGCGAACAGGAUUAGAUACCCGCGUAGUCCCUGUCUCUUAUAC